Molecule: ribosomal RNA, 547 nt
Filed under: Salmonella enterica
Lineage: Bacteria; Pseudomonadati; Pseudomonadota; Gammaproteobacteria; Enterobacterales; Enterobacteriaceae
Also listed under: 1 other name
Description: partial 23S ribosomal RNA
Rfam family: Bacterial large subunit ribosomal RNA
Source: RNAcentral
GUUAUAACCGGCGAUACCCGAAUGGGGAAACCCAGUGUGACUCGUCACACUAUCAUUAACUGAAUCCAUAGGUUAAUGAGGCGAACCGGGGGAACUGAAACAUCUAAGUACCCCGAGGAAAAGAAAUCAACCGAGAUUCCCCCAGUAGCGGCGAGCGAACGGGGAGGAGCCCAGAGCCUGAAUCAGCAUGUGUGUUAGUGGAAGCGUCUGGAAAGGCGCGCGAUACAGGGUGACAGCCCCGUACACAAAAGCGCAUGUGCUGUGAGCUCGAUGAGUAGGGCGGGACACGUGGUAUCCUGUCUGAAUAUGGGGGGACCAUCCUCCAAGGCUAAAUACUCCUGACUGACCGAUAGUGAACCAGUACCGUGAGGGAAAGGCGAAAAGAACCCCGGCGAGGGGAGUGAAAAAGAACCUGAAACCGUGUACGUACAAGCAGUGGGAGCACCCUUUGGGUGUGACUGCGUACCUUUUGUAUAAUGGGUCAGCGACUUAUAUUCUGUAGCAAGGUUAACCGAAUAGGGGAGCCGGAGGGAAACCGAGUCUUAAC